GGACUUAUAGCUCAGUGGUAGAGCAAUCGACUGCAGAUCGAUAGGUCCCGAGUUCAAAUCUCGGUGAGUCCU
Transfer RNA from Spizellomyces punctatus DAOM BR117, 72 nucleotides. It matches the Rfam family "tRNA". Rfam says of the family: Transfer RNA (tRNA) molecules are approximately 80 nucleotides in length. The record is from Rfam. Lineage: Eukaryota; Fungi; Chytridiomycota; Chytridiomycetes; Spizellomycetales; Spizellomycetaceae.